GACGAACGCUGGCGGCGUGCCUAAUACAUGCAAGUUGAGCGAUGAAGUUUGGUGCUUGCUCCAAUUUGAAGAGCAGCGAACGGGUGAGUAACGCGUGGGGAAUCUGCCUUUUAGCGGGGGACAACAUUUGGAAACGAAUGCUAAUACCGCAUAACAACUUUAAACAUAAGUUUUAAGUUUGAAAGAUGCAAUUGCAUCACUCAAAGAUGAUCCCGCGUUGUAUUAGCUAGUUGGUGAAGUAAAGGCUCACCAAGGCGAUGAUACAUAGCCGACCUGAGAGGGUGAUCGGCAACCUUGGGACUGAGAAACGGCCCAAACUCCUACGGGAGGCGGCAGUAGGGAAUCUUCGGAAAUGGACGAAAGUCUGGCCGGGAAACGCCGCGUGAGGGAAGAAGGUUUUCGGAUCGUAAAACUCGGUUGGUAGAGAAGAACGGUGGUGAGAGUGGAAAGCUCAUAAAGUGACGGUAACUACCCAGAAAGGGACGGCUAACUACGUG
Molecule: ribosomal RNA, 497 nt
Filed under: uncultured bacterium
Lineage: Bacteria
Description: partial 16S ribosomal RNA
Rfam family: Bacterial small subunit ribosomal RNA
Source: RNAcentral